UGGGGAAUAUUGGACAAUGGGCGAAAGCCUGAUCCAGCCAUGCCGCGUGUGUGAAGAAGGUCUUCGGAUUGUAAAGCACUUUAAGUUGGGAGGAAGGGCAGUAAGCGAAUACCUUGCUGUUUUGACGUUACCGACAGAAUAAGCACCGGCUAACUCUGUGCCAGCAGCCGCGGUAAUACAGAGGGUGCAAGCGUUAAUCGGAAUUACUGGGCGUAAAGCGCGCGUAGGUGGUUCGUUAAGUUGAAUGUGAAAGCCCCGGGCUCAACCUGGGAACUGCAUCCAAAGCUGGCGAGCUAGAGUAGGGCAGAGGGUGGUGGAAUUUCCUGUGUAGCGGUGGAAUGCGUAGAUAUAGGAAGGAACACCAGUGGCGAAGGCGACCACCUGGGCUCAUACUGACACUGAGGUGCGAAAGCGUGGGGAGCAAACAGG
Molecule: ribosomal RNA, 429 nt
Filed under: Pseudomonadota bacterium
Lineage: Bacteria; Pseudomonadati; Pseudomonadota
Description: Proteobacteria bacterium partial 16S ribosomal RNA
Rfam family: Bacterial small subunit ribosomal RNA
Source: RNAcentral